AAAGGCGUAGAGUUUUACGAAAAGCUCUAUUGAGGUAUGAUAAAUGGUCUGCAAUGUAGAGGUUUCUUAAUGGAAAACCAUUCUUUUUUGAAUUUAUAUAUGACCUUGCGAAUUGAAACAUCUUAUUAGCUUGUGGAAUAAAAAUCAACCGAGAUUUUGUAAGUAAUGGCGAGUGAAAGCAAAAAAAAGUAACUUUUUUAUUGAAAAUUAAAAAAUUUGGAAAAAUUUAUCAAAGAAGGUGAUAGUCCUGUAAAAUUUCAAAUAUUGUUUUUAGUAAAGAAAAUUUUUCUUGAAUAUUGGGGUUUCAUCCUCGAACUUUAAAUAUCUUUUAUAUGCGAUAGCAUAAAAGUACUGUGAAGGAAAGAUGAAAAGAAUCCUUAAAACGGAAGUGAAAAGAUCUUAAAUUCUGAUACUUACAACUAAUCAUACUCUUGUUUAUUAAACGAUAAUCUGGUGUGCCUUUUGUAUCAUGCAUUAGCGACUUUAUAAUUGCAGCAAGCUUAAUUUGUUAAAUGUAAGCAAAGUAAAAACAAGUUUUUGAUAAGCGUAGUUUAUCAGUUGCUAUUAUAAGACUCGAAUCCAAGUGAUCUUACCAUGAACAAGCUGAAAACAUAAUAACUUAUGUAGGAAGGCUGCACUCAUAGCUGUUGCAAAAGCUUGAGAAGAUUUGUGGUUAGGGGUGAAAGGCCAAUCAAACUUGGUGAUAGCUAGUUUUUUGCGAAAAAUAUUUAGGUAUUGCGUGAUAUUUAAUUUUGAUAAUAGGUAGAGCUCUUUUUAGAUUAAGGAAGCUAAGACUUUACUGACUCUCGAAAAACUUCAAAUGGUUAUUAACAACAUAUUGCAGUCAGAUUACGGGUGCUAAGGUCCGCAAUCAAAAGGGAAACAGCCCAGCUUAUUGGUUAAGGUCCAAAAAUAACAAGCUUAGUGAUAAAGAUGGUAAAAUUGUUAAGAUAAUUAGAAGGUAGGCUUGGAAGCAGCCAUUCUUUUUAAAAUGCGUAACAGCAUACUAAUUGAAAACGAAAGUUUGAAGUUUUUUGCAUCGAAAAUUUAAAUGGACUAAAGCUCUUUACCGAAACUAUAAAUUUUCAGUUUGAGGAAGAUGGUAGCAAAACGUUUUUAAAUCAAUAAAAGUUCAUUGUUAAAUGAGUUGAAGAUAAAAAAGUGAGAAUGCUAAUAUGAGUAACAUUAAACAAUGUAAUAUACAUUGUCGCCGUAAAAUCAAGGUUUUCUACGUAAAGUUUAGCUUCGUAGAGUUGGGCGGUCUCUAAAAAAUUUUGUGAUAACAUUAUUUGAUGAGAAGAAUAAAUUAGUCUAGACAUUAAGUGACAAGUAAACCCCUUUUUUGAAAAAAAGUGGAUUUUUUUAAAAAUUGUUUUGCUUCAAGAAAAAGCUUCUGUCAAUUUUAUAAAAAAUACCCGUACUUAACCGACAAAGGAGAUUUUUUAGGCGUUGAGACAAUUAUUUUUAAGGAACUCGGCAAAAUAAUUCUGUAACUUAGGAAGAAAGAAUACCUUAACAAAAAGGUGAAACAGAUCAGGGGAUAGCGACUGUUUAAUAAAAACAAAAGACUUUGCUAAAUAGUAAUAUGAUGUAUAAGGUCUUAUGCCUGCCCAGUGUUGUAAUGUCAAACUUUUGGUGUUCACGUAUCGUUGUUAAACUUCAAUAAACGGCAGUCGUAACUCUAACGAUUCAAAGGUAGCGAAAUUCCUAGUCAUUUAAUUGGUGACCUGCAUGAAAGGCAUAACGACUUUCCCACUGUCUUGAAAAUGAACUCAGUGAAAUUAGAAUCUGCGUGAAGAUACGCAGUAACAUAAGUUAGACGGAAAGACCCCAUAAACCUUUACUAUAAAUUUGUAUUGUUAUGAUUUGUUUUUUGUGUAGUAUAUGUGGUAACUCUUUAUAAAAGUGAUAUGAAAUACCACUCUAAAAAUAAAAUCUAACUAAUUUGUUGACAAAAAAAAUGCAAAUGGUUUAGUUUGGCUGGGGCGGCAAUCUCCAAAAAAGUAACGGAGAUCUGCAAUGGUAGGCUCAAAUUUAGUAGAAAUGAAUUUUUGAGUACAAUGGCAUAAAGCCUGCUUGACUGUAAGAUAAACAAAUCAAACAGGGACGAAAGUCGGUCAUAGUGAUCCGAAAAUUUUAAAUGGAAAAUUUUUCGCUCAAGGAAUAAAAGGUACUUUGGGGAUAACAGGCUAAUGACUCUUAAGAGCUCAUAUCGACAGAGUCGUUUGGCACCUCGAUGUCGACUCUUCGCAUCCUGGAGCUGUAGAAGGUUUCAAGGGUAUGGCUGUUCGCCAUUUAAAGCGGAACGUGAGUUGGGUUUAGAACGUUGUAAAACAGUUUGGUCCCUAUCUGCUUUAGUUGUAAAAGAAAUGAAAAGAUUUGUUUUUAGUACGAGAGGACCAAAACAACAUAACCACUUAUGUACCAGUUUUACCAAAAAGUCGGGUAGUUACGUUAUUUUAAUAUAAUCACUGAAAACAUCAAUUUGUAGAAGAUACCUUUGAAACAAUUUCUUCAAAUUGUAGAAGACUAUUACAGGUUAGGAGAGCCGUUGAAGUGUAGUAAUAGAGC
RNAcentral lists this ribosomal RNA (2571 nucleotides) under uncultured eukaryote. RNAcentral's name for it is "partial Bacterial large subunit ribosomal RNA". It matches the Rfam family "Bacterial large subunit ribosomal RNA". The record is from RNAcentral.